Truncatella angustata is the source of this 82-nucleotide non-coding RNA. The record is from the annotation of a RefSeq genome assembly. NCBI's taxonomy places the organism in Eukaryota, Fungi, Ascomycota, Sordariomycetes, Amphisphaeriales, Sporocadaceae.
GGUCAGAUGGCCGAGUGGUCUAAGGCGGUAGACUUAAGUUCUACUGACGCAAGUCGCGCGAGUUCGAACCUCGCUCUGAUCA